Molecule: ribosomal RNA, 506 nt
Filed under: uncultured bacterium
Lineage: Bacteria
Description: partial 16S ribosomal RNA
Rfam family: Bacterial small subunit ribosomal RNA
Source: RNAcentral
AGUGAACGCUGGCGGUAGGCUUAACACAUGCAAGUCGAACGGCAGCACAGGAGAGCUUGCUCUCUGGGUGGCGAGUGGCGGACGGGUGAGGAAUACAUCGGAAUCUACCUUUUCGUGGGGGAUAACGUAGGGAAACUUACGCUAAUACCGCAUACGACCUACGGGUGAAAGUGGGGGACCGCAAGGCCUCACGCGCUUAUAUGAGCCGAUGUCCGAUUAGCUAGUUGGCGGGGUAAUGGCCCACCAAGGCGACGAUCGGUAGCUGGUCUGAGAGGAUGAUCAGCCACACUGGAACUGAGACACGGUCCAGACUCCUACGGGAGGCAGCAGUGGGGAAUAUUGGACAAUGGGCGCAAGCCUGAUCCAGCCAUACCGCGUGGGUGAAGAAGGCCUUCGGGUUGUAAAGCCCUUUUGUUGGGAAAGAAAUCCUGUCGAUUAGUACUCGGUGAGGAUGACGGUACCCAAAGAAUAAGCACCGGCUAACUUCGUGCCAGCCGCCGCAGUAA